CAGAUAAAUCCUUCCGGAUCACGGGGCUGCCACGGGAGUGGCUUCCACCACACCAUCUCCUGUCCUGGGUGUUGUGGGGAGAUGAGUCUGGAUCCUACCUGGAUUCUGCCUCCAAGCUGGGGGAAGAAAGCUCCCAUGUUGUGAGGCAUAAAAAGGCCCACAUGUCAAAGAACUACAGCCUGCCAGCGACCACGUGACUGAGCUUGGAGGUGGAUCAUCCCUCAGGGAAGCCUUGAGAUGACAGCAGGCUGGGAGGGAUGCUCAGCCAGGACCAUGCAGCCAUGCUGCUCCGGCAUUCCUGAACCACAGAUGCUGUGAGAUGUGAACCAAAGCAUUCUGCCCCUACGAGGAAGAAAGGGAGGCAGUGAGGAGAGAAUCAGGCCCAAAGAGCUGGGCCCAAGUGACAUUUAUAAAUAGGAACAUGGAAACUCACGGAAGAAGCCAAGCAAGACAUUUUUUUCCCUCUACAUGUGUCAGCACUUCCCAGAUGUGAUGAUGGUAUUUGAAAGAGCAUGAUCUGGAAAUCCUGAGCCGUGCUGCCACAAGAAAAUGGAUGCACAGAGGACAAGGCCAGGCAGCGCAGGUCUUCAUUACACUGAGACUUUGCCUGAGUCCCAUGGUGCCCCAGUGCCCUGGCCUGGGCACAUCAGCACUGCCUUCUGUCCAGGCCCCAUGAGUCUCAGAUGGUGGACCCUGGUGACGGAAGGCUGGGUAGAUGCCAUGGACCUUUCCAUAGGUCAUAGCCACAGCUGAGCACUUGGUGUCUUACUACUCAGUGGAGAGGAGAAGUGUGCUGAAGGGUGGUAAGAGAGUGUGUCCAGGGGCCCAGACCAGAGUGGGCCAUGCCUCAUCUAGAGAGCAAGCAUCUUCCAGAAAGGAGAGCCCUUGGGUCCUUUUACAGAAGCAAUCAGAAAAACAUCGGGAAUCUCCCAGAAGACUGAAUGUAAGAGGACGAAGGGUCCGGGCACAGUGGCUCAUUCCUGUAAUCCCAGAACUUUGGGAGACUGAGGUGAGUGGAUCACUUGAGGUCAGGAGUUCGAGACCAGCCUGAACAACAUGGUGAAACCCCAUCUCUACUAAAAAUACAAUAUUAGCUGGGCAUAGUGGCGCAUGCCUGUAAUCCCAGCUACUCAGGAGGCUGAGGCAGGAGAAUCGCUUGAACCCAGGAGGAGGAGGUUGCAGUGAGCCGAGAUUGCAUCACCGCAUUCCAGCCUGGGCAACAAAGCAAGACUUCAUCACACACACACACACACACACACACACACACACACACACACAAACGAAACAACAACAACAACAAAACCAAAAAAAAAGAAAAAGAAA
RNAcentral lists this long non-coding RNA (1323 nucleotides) under Homo sapiens (human). RNAcentral describes it as "long non-coding RNA NONHSAT217567.1". Lineage: Eukaryota; Metazoa; Chordata; Mammalia; Primates; Hominidae. The record is from RNAcentral.